GGUCUAAUAGUGUAGUGGUUAUCACACGGGAUUUUGAAAUAAUCUUCCCGUAACUCAGGUUCGAAUCCUGGUUAGACCU
This is a non-coding RNA of Dendrothele bispora CBS 962.96, 79 nucleotides long. The record is from the annotation of a GenBank genome assembly. NCBI's taxonomy places the organism in Eukaryota, Fungi, Basidiomycota, Agaricomycetes, Agaricales.